This 496-nucleotide ribosomal RNA is filed under the name uncultured bacterium. RNAcentral's name for it is "partial 16S ribosomal RNA". It matches the Rfam family "Bacterial small subunit ribosomal RNA", at positions 28 to 506 of the family's 1533-position model. The record is from RNAcentral.
GACGAACGCUGGCGGCGUGCCUAAUACAUGCAAGUUGAGCGCUGAAGGUUGGUACUUGUACCAACUGGAUGAGCAGCGAACGGGUGAGUAACGCGUGGGGAAUCUGCCUUUGAGCGGGGGACAACAUUUGGAAACGAAUGCUAAUACCGCAUAAAAACUUUAAACACAAGUUUUAAGUUUGAAAGAUGCAAUUGCAUCACUCAAAGAUGAUCCCGCGUUGUAUUAGCUAGUUGGUGAGGUAAAGGCUCACCAAGGCGAUGAUACAUAGCCGACCUGAGAGGGUGAUCGGCCACAUGGGGACGUGGACACGGCCCAAACUCCUACGGGAGGCAGCAGGAGGGAAUCUUCGGCAAUGGACGAAAGUCUGACCGAGCAACGCCGCGUGAGGGAAGAAGGUUUUCGGAUCGUAAAACUCUGUUGGUAGAGAAGAACGUUGGGGAGAGUGGAAAGCUCAUCAAGUGACGGGAACUACCCAGAAAGGGGCGGCUAACUACGU